UACAACGUGUUUCUACAGACAUCCUUGCCAAAAUCUUUAAGAUUCUACGAUCCUGAUGAGGAAACAGCUGAUUCCUCACAAACACUUUUCAAAUCAACAUUCGCGCGGGGAUUUGCAUUGGAGAUUCUUGAAUUGUAUUCAGGACCUCCUAAAAUUGUGUACAAAUUCAGGCAUUGGGGUUUCAUGGAGGGCCCUUUUAAAGGACAUGCUCCUACCGGCGAAAAAUUGGAAGUUUUUGGGAUUGGCAUUUUUGAGGUACCAUCACUCUAUCUUCAUCUUUAACUAAUAUCCUUUUAACUUCUUCACUGGAUAGCAUCCUAGACGUUUUAUUGUGUACUACACCUUUUGUGCCUUGUUUGGUAACAUACAUGACAAUAUUAAUACAUUGUUUUGUCGACUACUGAGUAUUAAACACGUUCUUUUAUGUGCUAAAACAGUUGGAUGAAGACUCCAAGGUUGUGAAGGUGGAGUUCUUUAGUGAUCGUGGAGAACUGUUGGCCGGUCUGAUUAAGGGUAAAACCUUGGAUAAUUCCACUGAGGCGACACCUUCUGGCUGCCCUUUAAUGUCUGGCUAAUGGGAUAGCAUUGUGGAUGAAGUAGCCUUUUCAGCAGCUAUGAACUUUUUAAUAAAGGAACUGUUUGUUAAUUAUGUUAGAUGAAUAAAUCAGGAAUGUAUUGAAUGGAUAGAAAUUCUGUUCCGUAGAAAAUGUAUUCCUUUAAGGAUUUUCAAAUUAAUUGCUGCAUUUAUAUUUCUUUUGUUGGAUUUUAUGUAUAAUUUAUGACAAUAGUCGUUCUGGUUUUUGUAUUCCUCUAUUCAAUAUUUGAAAAAAAAUAAUUUCUCGACUCUUAGUCUACAAACUUUUAAACACAUAGCUUUAGUAAAAUGAAGUAGAUAUAAAAUUUGUCAGUCUCGUUUAUGAAAAAAUCAACUAUUCAAAGAAUUAAACUAUUAGUGGCAUCAAAGACAUGUUUGGUAUAUUGUAUAGCGUAUAACUAGGUAUGACUAUGGACAAAUUAUGUCAAGUGUGCCUAGUCAUGCAAUAUACCAAAUGUAUCCAAAUAUUAUCACGCGCAUUUUAAUUUCAUUUUAGAUAUAGUUUGAAUGUGUCAAAAUAAAAAAAGUCGGGUAAAAAAAAAAACCAGCAAAACAUACAUUGUUUGUGAGACUUCAUGACGUUGGACACUUGUGACGUUAAUGUGGGGUUGGACUUGUCAACUUGGUAUACUAAUUAGGAAAUUUCUACUAGUGAUAUCCUGUUUUUAGGAUUAUUAGAAUAGAUGCAAGAAAAUUUCAAUUUGGUUUGUGAUUUAAGAGGUACUACUAGUCUUUGGAAGGGGGAGAUCUAGGUCUUAGUAGAUUUGAUCCUAAGCUCACACGAAAGCAUCGCAAUCAUUUGUUCAGCUUGACACAACACAUGUAUGAGUUCGAUGUUCCUUGUCUUACAUAUAUUUUUUAAACAAAAUCUAUUUAAUUUUUGGGUCAAAUUAUAAUUAAUUAUGGGCAUUUCGUAGAAAUUAUUUUCAACAGUAAUACAAAUCCCAACCGUUGCCUUGUUUCAUCAAAUAUUUCUAUAUGAUCGAUGUCUGCUUUUCUAUAAUAGACAUUUGUUAACUAACUUAAUAGAAACUUACUUUUAGUAUGAACAAAGCUGUCUAUUUGUUUUUUUGAACAAUCAACACUGUUCUGAACAGGCUUAUAAAGUGUUUAAAUGACCAUGAAUAAGUCUAUAAAUAGUCUGCCUUGCUGCUAGGACAUUUAUACAAUUUUUCAUUGCAAAUAUUCUUGUUUUGAAUCUCACUUCCCUCUCUAAAUUCUGAUAUUAUUUUUCGAGUAUAAACACACUAUACUGAGUUCGUUGGAACUCCUAAUGAUUGUUGUGCUCUUUUCGUAGGAAAUGAAAUUCGUUCUAUGAUGGAAGAUGAUUGUUAACUGUUCUCAAGCACCAUAGUAGGAAGCAAAUUCGUCUUAAGUCAAUGGGCUUAAUCUCAAAUUGAAAUUAUGAUCAUGUUGAUCAUUUUGUUAUGCUCUUCAAAUUUAUUCAUGUAAUCUGCAAGUAUCUUCAAAUUAUUCGAAAGAGAAGAUUAUAUUCCGAAAAUAAUAGAAAUAUACUUCAACAAUAUAUAUUUAUUGAUACCAGGCUCCCAAUCUCGAUAUGAUUUUUUUAUUUUUUAUUUCCUUUUGCUUUUUAUAAGAAAAUGUAGAGAUUUCUUCCUAGCCAUUAGAGUUGGGCUGACUUGAUUUCACUCAAGAAUUGAUUUCAAUUUCAUCAUUUUUGUUACCUAUUUUGAAAAUAUUUGAAUCUGAAAGAUUUUUAUCUAAAUAACGUCUUAUCUUGCAAGUGAUAUUUUCUUAACAUCAAAGAUGUUCUCUCUCUCUCUCUCAAUGCAGUGUACGCACUAUUUUUAUAGAGACAUGUUCUUGAUCCAAAAACAGAGUAUCCAAUGCUUCUCUAGACAAACUGCCCUAAAAUUAAAAUGUCACAGAAUUGCCCUCGGCUCAUUUAUUAACUACAUUUUCUUUUCCUAAAAAAUAAAAAAAGUCACAGAAUUGGUGACAAUUAAAUAUUCUGGAUAAUUACCUAAAAAACUGACAAUGAUUAUGUCGGAUUAAUUAUUUAAUUUGAUCUCGUUCUGGCUGUGCUAUAGAGAUUGAUAAUUAAAUUGGAGAGGAGGACGGGUCUUCUGAUUUGAUUGGGAGAACUCUGCCACAGCCCCACAAGUAGGAAGUUGAUGACAUAAAUGACGUGGACUUUAACAAUAAUUUACACGCGGGUGGCUGUUUCGUCAGAAAAGUAUAAUUGUAGGGUUUUGCUACACCCGCUCUUGUGAGGGGCUGUCAUCCGAGCUAUUAUGCCCAAAUGUACAAACAGCAAAACUCAUAGUUAUAUGACUUCGGCAAUUGGUCUGGUCAAUGUACAUUUUUACCUUCUACUUCUAUUUCUUCAUCUUUUGUUCGAUAAACUUGACUGGAAAAAGUAAAAAUAUCUGGUCUUUCAGAAAAGUAUAAUUGUAGGGUUUUGCUACACCCGCUCUUGUGAGGGGCUGUCAUCCGAGCUAUUAUGCCCAAAUGUACAAACAGCAAAACUCAUAGUUAUAUGACUUCGGCAAUUGGUCUGCUCAAUGUACAUUUUUACCUUCUACUUCUAUUUCUUCAUCUUUUGUUCGAUAAACUUGACUGGAAAAAGUAAAAAUAUCUGGUCUUAAAACUCAUUUUUAAUUGCAUAGUUUCUCAAUAAUAUAAUUCUACAUGUGGACUUAUAUAAUCUUUUCCUACAUUAAAUCUAAUUCUCAAUAAUCCACAUCAAACAUGUCCUUAAUUAGACAAGGGAAAAUGAGUUUUUAGUUUCAUCUCAUUGGUUUUCAUUUUGAAUCGGAGGUUAUUUUGUUGGAUUGGAACCAUUAUAUUUUUAUUUGACUUUUAUAUAUUCCUAUAAAGCUCUCUAUACAAUAUCUAAAUUUAUAAACAAUUUAUACACACAUAUGUCAAUCAUAAAAUAUUAAAAAAUAAUUACAUUUGAGUACGCUCAAUUAUUUGCUUAAUGCUUCUUUUAGAGGUCACAACCUACCUUAUUGGUUUUAUCAGCUGUGUGGUCCGUCCUAAAAACUUCCAUUCUUGUUUGUUUCGUCCAUUAGUCGUUGGGGGCACAAUCUUGUUCCUACCACAAGUUCUUGGGCGUAGAUUCUUGGUACCAUUCGAAAUUUUAAUGGAGUGGAUUAAAAAACGAUUAAUGAAAAGUUGAAAAUAAUAUAUAAGUCAAAGUUGGCUACUAGAAAUGAAUUUAAUAAUUCGAUCUUUAAUACUUUAAUUCUCAUUUUAGAGUCACCUACUUUGACUUAUUUUUGGAGUAUACUUUUCAUCAAUCAAAGGCAGGUUCGUAAUAUAAUUAUGAAGUAUUCAUUGUGAAUCUCCUUCAUUGUGAAUCUCGCAAUACAUCUUUUAGAUUGAGCAAUUGAUCGAUAUAAAGUUCAAAAUAAUGAGCCAAAGAUAGCUGUUAGAAAAUUGAUCUUAUUAUUAUUAUUAUUAAGUUUCCAAUUUGGAGUCAUCUCAUUUGGCUUAUGUUGAGCUAUGUUCUUCCUUGUCGUGGUAGAUCAUUGGUACUGAUUCGAAGUAUUAACUGUAAAGUUCACAACAUAUCGUUCGAAUUGAAAAAUCGUUAAAUGUUGGGUUUAAUAAUGAGUCAAGGAUGGUAUGUGGAAUGGAUAAAAUAAUAUUAUCUCUUAUAUUUUGAUUCCCGUUUUGGUGUCACACUUUCGAUUUUUUUUUGAUCUAUGUUCUUCACUCACUGGUAGGUUUUUGGAAUGGUUUCGAAAUAUUCACGACAUAUGUGCAAUGCAUGUUUCAGAUUCAAAAGCUGUUAAAUGAUAUUUAAAACUUUUUUUUGACUUAUUUAUGGCCUAUAAUUUUUCAAUUGUCAGAGUAACUUGUUGAAACAGGGUUCCGUGCCAACCGCAUGGCUCCCCCACUAAUGACAACAGAUAAAGGAAAAGUCAAGAAAUCAAUCCUAUUUGAUGAGGCGCUAUUAUUGGAAUGAAUAAGUUAAGUUAAAAUUUUAUUUAUAAUUAUUUUCUUGACAAGUGACAAAUUUUUGCUAUAUAAGAAUCAAUAAAUGAGAGUCGAUCCUUAUCAAGCUUAAAGUUUCCGUUUCAAGAACUUCUAAAUUCAGUGAAACUAUGGCAACUUCUACUGCAACUGGAGACAAGUACAGGGAUUAUUUGACUGAAGAGGAUAUCAAAAACACCAAAUGGAAUUUUGGUCCUCCAAACUAUGAUGAUGUAAAUCAGCUGUUUGAAGAAGGGAGAACUAAUGUAUGCAGUUUUCGACCUUUAUUUUCGAUUUAUUACCUAAAAAUCCAAGUUACUUUCCAUUUGAUGUUUUUUUUUCCGAUUUGAUGCUAAUUUUAACACCAACGGAUAUGUAUAUGGCAGAUAUGGCCUGAAGGAUCACCUGAAGAGAAAGUGCAGAGGCUUGUGAAGACAUGGGAAAUGGAACUGGUACACAAGGCAGAUCCAAAUCAGUACAAGACCCUUGAUGCAAAGAAAUUCAAACUUAGUGUCAAUGGUAUGUUUUCUUUACAACCACAACGAUGGCGAAAAUUCUAUUAAUAUGGCAGUUAAUUAAGUACACGUUAGGGAGAGAGGUCGAACAUGGUGUCACAAGCAAUAUUAAACUCAUAUUGAACGGAUCAAGUUUGCAUGUAUAGAAUAUACUUGUGAUUAACAUGUAAAUUUACGGUAGAAAGAGAUUUUCUCAAGGAAACGCAUUUAACAAUGUUGAAUGUAACAUCAUAAACAGUUAGAAAGUUUUAAAAAUAAUUUACGCUACCUCACCCACUUAUAUAAUAACACUAAUAAACACAUUCAAAAUGUUCACCCAUGAGAUCUGGCCAAUAAGCAAGUUAAAAUAGUAUAAAAACUCGUAGGUAAAAGUCACUCUUGGAUGUGACUCGUGAUAAAUAAAUAAAUUUCUCGUUGAAAGAGACUUUCUCAAGGAAACGCAUUUAACAAUGUCGAAUGCAAAACAGGUAGAAAGUUUUUGACAUUGGAAGAAAUGAUUAAGAUUGGGGGAAGCUACAACGUGUUUCUACAGACAUCCUUGCCAAAAUCUUUAAGAUUCUACGAUCCUGAUGAGGAAACAGCUGAUUCCUCACAAACACUUUUCAAAUCAACAUUCGCGCGGGGAUUUGCAUUGGAGAUUCUUGAAUUGUAUUCAGGACCUCCUAAAAUUGUGUACAAAUUCAGGCAUUGGGGUUUCAUGGAGGGCCCUUUUAAAGGACAUGCUCCUACCGGCGAAAAAUUGGAAGUUUUUGGGAUUGGCAUUUUUGAGGUACCAUCACUCUAUCUUCAUCUUUAACUAAUAUCCUUUUAACUUCUUCACUGGAUAGCAUCCUAGACGUUUUAUUGUGUACUACACCUUUUGUGCCUNCUUCAUCUUUAACUAAUAUCCUUUUAACUUCUUCACUGGAUAGCAUCCUAGACGUUUUAUUGUGUACUACACCUUUUGUGCCUUGUUUGGUAACAUACAUGACAAUAUUAAUACAUUGUUUUGUCGACUACUGAGUAUUAAACACGUUCUUUUAUGUGCUAAAACAGUUGGAUGAAGACUCCAAGGUUGUGAAGGUGGAGUUCUUUAGUGAUCGUGGAG
Molecule: long non-coding RNA, 6142 nt
Filed under: Olea europaea (common olive)
Lineage: Eukaryota; Viridiplantae; Streptophyta; Magnoliopsida; Lamiales; Oleaceae
Description: long non-coding RNA (OEUR_LNC002415)
Source: RNAcentral